CGGGUAUCUAGAGAGCGGCGUACGGGUGCGGAACACGUAUCCAACCUGCCGAUAACUCGGGGAUAGCCUUUCGAAAGAAAGAUUAAUACCCGAUGGUAUAAUCAGACCGCAUGGUUUGAUUAUUAAAGAAUUUCGGUUAUCGAUGGGGAUGCGUUCCAUUAGGCAGUUGGUGAGGUAACGGCUCACCAAACCUUCGAUGGAUAGGGGUUCUGAGAGGAAGGUCCCCCACAUUGGAACUGAGACACGGUCCAA
RNAcentral lists this ribosomal RNA (252 nucleotides) under uncultured bacterium. RNAcentral's name for it is "partial 16S ribosomal RNA". It matches the Rfam family "Bacterial small subunit ribosomal RNA", at positions 81 to 334 of the family's 1533-position model. The record is from RNAcentral.